GGGGUUUUGGCUCAGUGGGAGGGCGCUUGCCUAACAUGCAUGAGGCACUGGGUUCGAUUCUCAGCACCA
RNAcentral lists this transfer RNA (69 nucleotides) under Ictidomys tridecemlineatus (thirteen-lined ground squirrel). Its description in RNAcentral is "Spermophilus tridecemlineatus (thirteen-lined ground squirrel) tRNA". It matches the Rfam family "tRNA". From Rfam's summary of the family: Transfer RNA (tRNA) molecules are approximately 80 nucleotides in length. Their secondary structure includes four short double-helical elements and three loops (D, anti-codon, and T loops). Further hydrogen bonds mediate the characteristic L-shaped molecular structure. tRNAs have two regions of fundamental functional importance: the anti-codon, which is responsible for specific mRNA codon recognition, and the 3' end, to which the tRNAs corresponding amino acid is attached (by aminoacyl-tRNA synthetases). tRNAs cope with the degeneracy of the genetic code in two manners: having more than one tRNA (with a specific anti-codon) for a particular amino acid; and 'wobble' base-pairing, i.e. permitting non-standard base-pairing at the 3rd anti-codon position. The record is from Rfam by way of RNAcentral. Lineage: Eukaryota; Metazoa; Chordata; Mammalia; Rodentia; Sciuridae.